RNAcentral lists this ribosomal RNA (484 nucleotides) under uncultured bacterium. Its description in RNAcentral is "partial 16S ribosomal RNA". It matches the Rfam family "Bacterial small subunit ribosomal RNA", at positions 29 to 523 of the family's 1533-position model. The record is from RNAcentral.
AGUGAACGCUGGCGGCGUGCUUAACACAUGCAAGUCGAACGAGAACGGGUUAUAGCUUGCUAUAAUUGUCAGCUAAGUGGCGCACGGGUGAGUAAUGUAUAGGUAAUAUGCCUCUUACUAAGGGAUAACAAAUGGAAACGUUUGCUAAUACCUUAUACUCCUUAUUAACAGAAGUUAAUAAGGGAAAGAUUUAUUGGUAAGAGAUUAGCCUGUAUUGUAUCAGUUAGUUGGUGGGGUAAUGGCCUACCAAGACUAUGACACAUAACUGGUUUGAGAGGAUGAUCAGUCACACUGGAACUGAGACACGGUCCAGACUCCUACGGGAGGCAGCAGUGGGGAAUAUUGCACAAUGGACGAAAGUCUGAUGCAGCAACGCCGCGUGGAGGAUGACACAUUUCGGUGCGUAAACUCCUUUUAUAUGAGAAGAUAAUGACGGUAUUAUAUGAAUAAGCACCGGCUAACUCCGUGCCAGCCGCCGCUGUAA